Desarmillaria tabescens is the source of this 85-nucleotide non-coding RNA. The record is from the annotation of a RefSeq genome assembly. NCBI's taxonomy places the organism in Eukaryota, Fungi, Basidiomycota, Agaricomycetes, Agaricales, Physalacriaceae.
CCGACCUUAGCUCAGUUGGAAGAGCGUCAGACUGUAACGGAUAAUUAACAUCUGAAUGUCGCCUGUUCGAACCAGGCAGGUCGGA